This is a long non-coding RNA of Oncorhynchus keta (chum salmon), 655 nucleotides long. RefSeq lists it as uncharacterized. The transcript is spliced from 3 exons. The record is from RefSeq and is a predicted model, not a curated record. NCBI's taxonomy places the organism in Eukaryota, Metazoa, Chordata, Actinopteri, Salmoniformes, Salmonidae.
GAGAGAGAGACAAGGAGAGAGAGACAGGUACACAGAGACAAGGGGAGAGAGAGAGAGAGAGACAGGUACACAGAGACAAAGAGAGAGAGACAGGUACACAGAGACAAGGGGAGAGAGAGAGAGACAAGGAGAGAGAGAGACAGGUACAGAGACAAGGGGAGAGAGAGAGACAAGGAGAGAGAGAGAGAGACAAGGAGAGAGAGAGAGACAAGGAGAGAGAGAGAGAGAGAGAGAGAGAGAGAGAGAGAAGGAGAGAGAGAGAGAGACAGGUACACAGAGACAAAGAGAGAGAGACAAGGGGGAGAGAGAGAGAGAGACAAGGAGAGAGAGAGACAGGUACACAGAGACAAGGGGGGAGAGAGAGAGACAGGUACACAGAGACAAGGGGAGAGAGAGAGACAAGGAGAGAGAGAUAGACAAGGAGAGAGAGAGACAAGGAGAGAGAGAGAGAGACAGGUACACAGAGACAAAGAGAGAGAGACAAGGGGAGAGAGAGAGAGACAAGGAGAGAGAGAGACAGGUACACAGAGACAAGGGGAGAGAGAGAGACAGGUAGACAGAGACAAGGGGAGAGAGAGAGAGACAAGAAGAGAGAGACAGGUACACAGAGACAAGGGGAGAGAGAGACAAGGAGAGAGAGAGAGAGAGAGAGAGA